UACGUAGGGUGCAAGCGUUGUCCGGAAUUAUUGGGCGUAAAGAGCUCGUAGGCGGUCUGUCGCGUCGGAUGUGAAAAUCCAGGGCUCAACCCUGGACCUGCAUUCGAUACGGGCAGACUAGAGUUCGGCAGGGGAGACUGGAAUUCCUGGUGUAGCGGUGAAAUGCGUAGAUAUCUGGAGGAACAUCGGUGGCGAAGGCGGCAUCCUGGACCGGUAUUGACGCUGAGGCGCGAAAGCCAGGGGAGCAAACGGG
This 253-nucleotide ribosomal RNA is filed under the name uncultured bacterium. RNAcentral describes it as "partial 16S ribosomal RNA". It matches the Rfam family "Bacterial small subunit ribosomal RNA", at positions 524 to 776 of the family's 1533-position model. The record is from RNAcentral.